This is a long non-coding RNA of Homo sapiens (human), 1017 nucleotides long. Ensembl annotates it as lncRNA associated with SART3 regulation of splicing. Its record names the gene LASTR. The record is from Ensembl. Lineage: Eukaryota; Metazoa; Chordata; Mammalia; Primates; Hominidae.
AAGCAGGGCUGAAAGUUGAGCCCCCAUAGGGCUUCCCACAUGGAGCAGGCACAGGGGAGGAAGUGGCUGUCUGGAGGGCAGACUGUCAGGCAGCCUUUGCCAGUCCUGGCCCCUCUUCCCCCUCCUCAGCCCUCCAUGCAACCCCAGCCUCUCCCAGAGGGCCUGACUGUGGUUUUUCCUGUUAACUCCGCCUGUUCUUCUUCUGCGGCCUUUGAAGCUCAGCUCUUUCCUUCCAUGCUGUAACCUCAAAUCCCGGCCCCUCCGCUUCCUUCGGUGGGGGAUUGUCCUUUCUUUCCAGGUCCCUGCAUCCUUGUCCAGGAGCAGCCAUCAGUGUGGAGCUGGGGCUUGGAGAUCUUGCUCCCCGCUGCCUCUAGGGCUCAGGGGCAUGGCUGCCGACCACACAGGGGCAGGAAUGUCUGAGACGCGCUCUGCAAGAUGAGUUGGCAGCAUCUCUGUGCCUCUGGUUUUGCCAGGCUCCACCAACAUCCCGCUAAGAACUCUUCACCCUCAAGGAUUGAAUGAUUGCUGGGACCACACAAUUUACACUUGGCUCUCGUGGUCCGGAGGGGAGGACUGCGCCAGCAUGAGAAGACCAGAGAGCAAGUAAAUGGAAAUUUGGCGAGAUCCUGUGGCUGCUGUUGGUGGCUGCAGCCAGACAGGAAAACUGAGAUGGUGUGAGCAGAAAGGGCUGGAAGGAGUUGGCUUUUUCCAAGAAAUUACAGCGGAAUCUUCUUCCAAGAGGCUGGGGGCCUCUGCAGACAUGAUCUCAUUACUUACCCCCCAAAUCCCCCAGCUUCCCUACGGACCAAGGACCAGGGGUCUCUGCCCAGUCCUAGCUCCAAGGAAACUCACACUUGGCAGAUUUUCCUAAUCGGAGCUGGCCUUGAAGUUUGCUCACUGAUAAUCACCAGAAAGUCACCCCAACAAUGGGUGAUGCCAGAGUGUCCUCAAGCUUCAAGGGUCCGUAAAAACACUUGACUCCCCCAGGACAAAAAUGACUGGGGGAAACAUGCAGUU